RNAcentral lists this transfer RNA (72 nucleotides) under Trichoderma reesei QM6a. Its description in RNAcentral is "tRNA-Val (CAC) (tRNA-Val-CAC-1-1, tRNA-Val-CAC-1-2)". It matches the Rfam family "tRNA". Rfam says of the family: Transfer RNA (tRNA) molecules are approximately 80 nucleotides in length. Their secondary structure includes four short double-helical elements and three loops (D, anti-codon, and T loops). The record is from RNAcentral. RNAcentral also lists the same sequence under 2 other names. Lineage: Eukaryota; Fungi; Ascomycota; Sordariomycetes; Hypocreales; Hypocreaceae.
GGUCGAGUCGUAUAACGGUUAGUACAGUCGCUUCACACGCGACAGACCCGGGUUCGACUCCCGGCUCGACUA